Molecule: long non-coding RNA, 252 nt
Filed under: Homo sapiens (human)
Lineage: Eukaryota; Metazoa; Chordata; Mammalia; Primates; Hominidae
Description: HSALNT0057384
Source: RNAcentral
UCUCCACAUUUCCACCGCUGGAGGGGGGACUUCGGCUAUCACAGUCGAGGGAGGUUGAAAACCCCACUUCAAAACCCGUCGGAAUGUUUUGAGAAAAUGUGGAUGGUAAUGGAGAAAUGUGAACAGAGGAGAGAAAGUAGCGGUCUUGUAAAGGAUAUACGAUAUUUUCCAAGUGGGCAGAAAGCACAGGAGGGAAAUGGCACAGUGACAAGAGGUCAGGGGAGCGGGAGAUGGAGCCAAGGGUCGGCGUUU